Molecule: small nuclear RNA, 88 nt
Filed under: Octodon degus (degu)
Lineage: Eukaryota; Metazoa; Chordata; Mammalia; Rodentia; Octodontidae
Source: RNAcentral
UACUAAAAUUGGAACGAUACAGAGAAGAUUAGCAUGGCCUCUUUGAAAGUCUUAUGACAUUAAUAUGAAAAAGUAAGAAUCAAAAUUG